UUGGAGGGCAAGUCUGGUGCCAGCAGCCGCGGUAAUUCCAGCUCCAAUAGCGUAUAUUAAAGUUGUUGCAGUUAAAAAGCUCGUAGUUGAAUUUCGGAAUCUGUCCGUCGGUCGGGCUUCACUGUCCGUACUGGUGUGAUGGGUUUCUACCUUCUGAAUAACCGGCAUGUCAUUAAUUUGGUGCGCCGGGGAAGCAGAACUAUUACCUUGAAAAAAUUAGAGUGCUUAAAGCAGGCUAUCGCCUGAAUAGAUUAGCAUGGAAUAAUAAAAUAGGACGGCAUGGUUCUAUUUUGUUGGUUUCUAGGAUCACCGUAAUGAUUAAUAGGGAUAGUUGGGGGCAUUAGUAUUCAAUUGUCGGAGGUGAAAUUCUUGGAUUUAUUGAAGACUAACUUCUGCGAAAGCAUUUGCCAAGGAUGUUUUCAUUAAUCAAGAACGAAAGUUAGGGGAUCGAAGACGAUCAGAUACCGUCGUAGUCUUAACCAUAAACUAUGCCGACUAGGGAUCGGACGAUGUUAAUUUUUUAAUGACUCGUUCGGCGCCUUACGGGAAAC
Molecule: ribosomal RNA, 551 nt
Filed under: uncultured Acaulospora
Lineage: Eukaryota; Fungi; Glomeromycota; Glomeromycetes; Diversisporales; Acaulosporaceae
Description: SSU rRNA
Rfam family: Eukaryotic small subunit ribosomal RNA
Source: RNAcentral